This 118-nucleotide ribosomal RNA is filed under the name Geobacillus thermodenitrificans. The record is from RNAcentral. Lineage: Bacteria; Bacillati; Bacillota; Bacilli; Caryophanales; Anoxybacillaceae.
CCUAGUGAUGAUAGCGGAGAGGAAACACCCGUUCCCAUCCCGAACACGGAAGUUAAGCUCUCCAGCGCCGAUGGUAGUUGGGGCCAGCGCCCCUGGUGGAGGAUUAGCUCAGCUGGGA